GAUGAACGCUGGCGGCGUGCCUAACACAUGCAAGUCGAACGUGAGAGGGUAGCAAUAUCCUUGAAAGUGGCGCACGGGUGAGUAAUACGUAGGUAACCUGCCCUGGAGAGGGGGAUAACAGCUGGAAACGGCUGCUAAUACCGCAUGAAGCUGGACUAUCGGGAGAUAGACGGGUGAAAACUCUGGUGCUUCAGGAGGGGCCUACGGCCGAUUAGCUAGUUGGCGGGGUAAGAGCCCACCAAGGCGACGAUCGGUAGCUGGUCUGAGAGGACGAUCAGCCACACGGGAACUGAGACACGGUCCCGACUCCUACGGGGGGCAGCAGUGAGGAAUAUUGGGCAAUGGGCGAAAGCCUGACCCAGCAACGCCGCGUGGAGGAAGACGGCCUUCGGGUUGUAAACUCCUUUUACGGGGGAAGAGGAAGGACGGUACCCCGAGAAUAAGUCACGGCUAACUACGUGCCAGCCGCCGC
RNAcentral lists this ribosomal RNA (472 nucleotides) under uncultured bacterium. Its description in RNAcentral is "bacterial SSU rRNA". It matches the Rfam family "Bacterial small subunit ribosomal RNA", at positions 28 to 518 of the family's 1533-position model. The record is from RNAcentral.